Molecule: small RNA, 511 nt
Filed under: Drosophila pseudoobscura pseudoobscura
Lineage: Eukaryota; Metazoa; Arthropoda; Insecta; Diptera; Drosophilidae
Description: GA30625
Source: RNAcentral
AUUCAAUUCAACAUUAAAAAUUAGAGGACAAGGUUACCACAAAGUGGGUUUAUUGGUGCCAAACGAGGAACAUUCAUAUUUACAAAUAAUCUUCAUGGGCGGUGAAGAAAUCUACGCAAAACAACGUGCACUCGCCAGUCGCAACAACAUCAAUUUUCCAACAGCCGGGCGAAUGGACAACGAGCUGGACAGCCUAUUGACUGCUCAUGCACAUACUACCCGAAAUUACACGUCCUAUAAUUAUAAUCGAGGCUGUAAUAUUGCUGUCUUUCCUGUUGAACGAAGCUAAACAAAUGUAUAAACGAAUUUUGUUGUUCAAAGAGGGCCUGGAGAACUGAAUGUCAGUCUGUUUUACAUAUCAAAUCUCAUAUUAGACAGCAUAUCAACAAACCUACAGCUCCAAAAAAAUCUCGACAGAAAAUAAUUCGUACCGUACCAAAAUACUAAGAAAAAACGAAUACACGCAAUAUUUCAUGUAAAUAUUCGCUGAGAUGAUAUGCUGGAAAUAGUU